CUGCGUUCAGAUACUCUGCAGUUUAAAAUGCAUUGCAGAGAUGUUGACUAGGCCACGUCUAUCAGAACUCCGGCAAAACCUUGGCUGUUACUGUAAUUCCUAUGCACCCCCAUCAUUUCAAAUUUUUCAGCCGAUCAGUAUCUCGGACUCUAUUGAUGACGUCAGUAAAAUGGUAGAAGUUCAAAGUGUAGCCGAUGCACGUGUUGCCAAGAACAAAAAUUUUACUGAAGAUGAGCAAUUACUUUUAUCGGGGUUAAUAAAAAAAACCAUCCAUCUAAAAAAAAUUCACAAGGAGAGGUCCCCAAGUGGAAUCCACCGAUUUUGAUGAAAUUUAGUAGGGUUGUGGAGUGUGUCUUCCUGAAUAUAG
Molecule: long non-coding RNA, 367 nt
Filed under: Androctonus crassicauda
Lineage: Eukaryota; Metazoa; Arthropoda; Arachnida; Scorpiones; Buthidae
Source: RNAcentral